AGGACGAACGCUGGCGGCGUGCUUAACACAUGCAAGUCGAACGGAAAGGCUCCAGCUUGCUGGAGUACUCGAGUGGCGAACGGGUGAGUAACACGUGGGUAAUCUGCCCUGCACUCUGGGAUAAGCCUGGGAAACUGGGUCUAAUACUGGAUAUGACCUUUCUCCUUAUGGGGUUUGGUGGAAAGUUUUUCGGUGUAGGAUGAGCCCGCGGCCUAUCAGCUUGUUGGUGGGGUGAUGGCCUACCAAGGCGACGACAGGUAGCCGGCCUGAGAGGGUGAUCGGCCACAUUGGGACUGAGAUACGGCCCAGACUCCUACGGGAGGCAGCAGUGGGGAAUAUUGCACAAUGGGCGGAAGCCUGAUGCAGCGACGCCGCGUGAGGGAUGACGGCCUUCGGUUGUAAACCUCUUUCAGCAGGGACGAAGCGUAAGUGACGGUACCUGCAGAAGAAGCACCGGCUAACUACGUGCCAGCAGCCGCGGU
This 482-nucleotide ribosomal RNA is filed under the name uncultured bacterium. RNAcentral describes it as "SSU rRNA". It matches the Rfam family "Bacterial small subunit ribosomal RNA", at positions 26 to 521 of the family's 1533-position model. The record is from RNAcentral.